RNAcentral lists this ribosomal RNA (478 nucleotides) under Phoma sp. FL-2010g. Its description in RNAcentral is "eukaryotic LSU rRNA". The stretch from base 161 to 314 matches the Rfam family "5.8S ribosomal RNA". The record is from RNAcentral. Lineage: Eukaryota; Fungi; Ascomycota; Dothideomycetes; Pleosporales; Didymellaceae.
GAACCUGCGGAAGGAUCAUUACCUAGAGUAGUAGGCUUUGCCUGCUAUCUCUUACCCAUGUCUUUUGAGUACCUUCGUUUCCUCGGCGGGUUCGCCCGCCGAUUGGACAAUUUAAACCAUUUGCAGUUGCAAUCAGCGUCUGAAAAAACAUAAUAGUUACAACUUUCAACAACGGAUCUCUUGGUUCUGGCAUCGAUGAAGAACGCAGCGAAAUGCGAUAAGUAGUGUGAAUUGCAGAAUUCAGUGAAUCAUCGAAUCUUUGAACGCACACUGCGCCCCUUGGUAUUCCAUGGGGCAUUCCUGUUCGAGCGUCAUUUGUACCUUCAAGCUCUGCUUGGUGUUGGGUGUUUGUCUCGCCUAUGCGUGUAGACUCGCCUCAAAACAAUUGGCAGCCGGCGUAUUGAUUUCGGAGCGCAGUACAUCUCGCGCUUCGCACUCAGAACGAAGACGUCCAAAAGUACAUUUUACACUCUGACCU